GGGGAAUUAGCUCAAAUGGUAGAGCGCUCGCUUAGCAUGCGAGAGGUAGCGGGAUCGAUACCCGCGUUCUCCA
Molecule: transfer RNA, 73 nt
Filed under: Perca flavescens (yellow perch)
Lineage: Eukaryota; Metazoa; Chordata; Actinopteri; Perciformes; Percidae
Rfam family: tRNA
About the family: Transfer RNA (tRNA) molecules are approximately 80 nucleotides in length.
Source: Rfam by way of RNAcentral